GAGAUCGCGCCACUGCACUCCAGCCUGGGUGACAGAGCAAGACUCCGUCUCAAAAAAAAUAAAAAAAAAAAAAAGGAAAGAAAAGAAAAGACCAAGAAAACCUCUGCCUGGACAAUGGAUUUCUCCAGCCAGAUUCCUGUCCUGACCUUAUACCCUAGUUUGGGUUGGCACUGCUGAUAUCUUGUCCUGCAGUAGUGGGGGAAAGAAAAUGAUCCGUCCUUCAUCUGUGAUCCCUGGUGCCCUCCUGUUCCAGGCCACAUUCUUGGAUGCUGUUCCUCCACUUCAGACCCCAGCAACUUUCCUUCAUUAUGACUGGAGCUCCAGCACCGAUCUUGAGCCAGGAAGCAACCUUGAUAUUGGAAGCCACUCACAAAGGAUGGUGGAGCAGAGAGGCAAAAGGAGUAUGAGUUCCUGAUACAAGCCCUGGACAGUCUAUAUUCCGAUUUCCCUUAGAAGCAAAAUGAAUCCAUAAGAUUUUAUGUUUUUUCAGUCUCUUUUUUAGGUUUCCUGAUGUAUGUAUCCAAUCUUUAUCGUGAUUAAUACAUGAAAUAUGGUAUCAACAAGUGAAAUUUUAAUAAUUAAAGAGUACAUGGCACAUGGCAGUGUACAAUUCAUUGAGUGGUACAAAUCCAGCAUGGAGAGGCAGUAUAUAGUGCCUGAGUGUUAAGACUGGGCUCUGAAAAUACAUAUAGAAAUUUAAUACAAGACAAGAGUCACCUUAAAUUAUUAAGGAAAAGGAAACUUUUUAAUAAAUGAUGUUGAAACAACUGAGUAACCAUUUGGAAAAGGAUAAAAUUGGAUCCAUAUAUCAUUUCGUGUUCCAAGAGAAAUUGCAAAUGGAUUCAGAAAUAUAAGUGUUAAAAAAUAAAGCCACAAAAUAAUAGAACAAAACACAAAUUCCUUAUAACUUAGCAGUGAGUAAAGCCUUCAUAACUAUGACUUAAAAUCCAGAAACAAUGACAACAAAGACUGACAAAUUUGAUGACACAGAAAUUUAAAACUUGUGUGUGUCAAAUAAAGAAAAAUACCCAUAAGUAAAAUUGAAAAGACAAAUGAACAGCUGGGAAAAAAUAUUUUCUAUUUACGUUCUUCCAAAGGAAUAUCUCUCCAACACAAAAAGAGCUCCUAGAAAUCAAUUUUAAAAAGCAGAAAAACAACCCAAUAGAAAAAUGGGCAAAAGUCAUAGUCCAGCAGUUCUCGUGAAAAGAAAAGCAAAUGGCCCUUAAACAUAUGAAAAUAUGCUCAUCUCACUCAAAAUAAAAGAAUGCAAAGGAAAAAUACAAUGAGAAACCAUUUCUCACCUAACAAUUAAAUUGGCAAAAAUUCAAAAGUUGAAAACACCAUGGUAGAGGUUGGGAGAAAUCAGGCACUCUCAUUCAUUGCUAGUGAAGACAAAAGGUGAUACAAUCCCAUGAAGAGGAAUGUGGCAAUAUAUAACAAAAUUACAGGUACUUUGACCCUUUGAUUCAACAAUCUCACUUUUAAGAAUAUAUAAUGUUGUAUCUGUUAUCAUCUUACACCAAAUUUCUCUAUAUUUGUUUUCACAGCCCAGACUUGACACUCAGACACUAUACACUGUCUCUCCAUGCUGUAUUGUGCCAUUCAAUGAUUUGUAUACCGCCAUGUAUCAUUUCUUCUUUUAUUAAAUUAUUUUAUAUUAUUUUGUAAUACAGCUGUACACAUAUAAAAUGAUAAAUACAUUAUCAUUUAUAGCAAUAAAAGAUUAUUAAAAACACAAAUAUUCAUCAAUAAACAUUGGUUAUACGAAACUAAGGUACAUCUUCGUAAAUGGAAACUAUGUAACUUUCCCUAGGUGAAUUAUUAAAAAAAAUUUUUUUAAUUGCUAUGAGAGAAUCCCAGGAUAUAAUAUUAAAUUGAAAAGGCAACACAGAAGACAGUCUGGUAUGAACGUAUAGUAUACUACCUUUUAGUAGGACACACACACACACACACACACACACACACACUUACAAAAAGAAACACACACACGACAGAUAAAUUAGAAGCUAAAAUUUUUAAAUGUUAUCUAUUGAAAAGUAGGAAAAGAAAAUAACAUUUUCCUGGGUAUACUUUUGUUUAAAGUUUUAAAUUUAGAACCAUACUUUAACAUUUUAAUUGUUAGAUCAUGUAAAUGUUUUAUAUAUUAAAAACUAAAAUUUAAAAGCAAAUUUAAAAUUUAAAAACAAAUAGAAAAUUUAAAAAUUAAAAGUAAUGGAAACAAAUUAACAAUGUAUCAAAUGUAUCAAAUUGGUAAAUAACCACACAUAGAAAAACAUUGUUUCAAGUAAUUUUAAAAUACAGCAAUUGUACAAACUUAGUGGGAUAUACUGUAAGGACAACAGAGAACUGCAAGAAAAUCUCAAACUUCAUUUGUCAAUUUUAUUAUUAGUGGUAAUGCUGACAUUAUUAGUCUGAAAUCAUUUUAUGUAUAAGAUAAUCAUGUUUAUGUUGUUAGAAACCAAGAUGUCCAGUAUAAAUAUCAACUCAAAUAAGUUAAUAAUUGGAAAUUGAAUCAGAAAUAUCUAUACAAAUGUAUGAGUUUUGAACUUUAAUUUGAAAAUAAUUUUAAACUUAUAGAAAAUGUGCAAUUAUGGUGCAAAGAAAAUCAUUUUACCAUUUCCUAAGAUUUACCUGUUAUUAACAUUUUGCCCCAUUUGCUUUCUCAUUUGCUCUAUCUACACACACACACACACACACGAUUUUUUUCUGAAACAGUUGAGAGUAAGCUGCAUAAAUCACAGUUGAGUGUGCAUCUCUAAGAAUAAGAAUAUCCUCUUCCAUAUAGCUGUCAACUUCAAUAAACUGAACAUUGAUCAGAAAUUAAAAACAGAAAUUAUAUUUAGUUGUUAUGUCUCUUUGGUGUCAUUUUUUCUGGAACAUUUUCUCAGUCUUCCUUUGUCUUAUAUAACACUGACAUUUUUGGAAUAAUUUUUUAAAUAAAUGAUUCCUCGUUUUGA
Molecule: long non-coding RNA, 2957 nt
Organism: Pongo pygmaeus (Bornean orangutan)
Lineage: Eukaryota; Metazoa; Chordata; Mammalia; Primates; Hominidae
Exons: 3
Source: RefSeq, a predicted model, not a curated record